Molecule: long non-coding RNA, 622 nt
Organism: Sapajus apella (tufted capuchin)
Lineage: Eukaryota; Metazoa; Chordata; Mammalia; Primates; Cebidae
Exons: 3
Source: RefSeq, a predicted model, not a curated record
GGGUGACAGAGCAAACCCUGUCUCAAAAAAAAAAAAAAAAAAAAAAAAAAAAAAAAAAAAAAAUCUGGUGGGAGCUGGAGCAGUCCUCAGUUAAAAGAAAAGAGCCAUCCUACGGGCACUGUUUCAUGCCUUACACUAUUUGUACGCAUGGGCUUAUUGUUUUUAGAACAUAAUAUAUUGCCUACUGAAGAAUAUUGUGUCCCAGGAAAUUGCAAUCUGUAACAUCCUUUUUGUUCUUGUACUCAUUCAUUCAUUUAUUUCACAAAUAUUUAUUGAUGGCUUCAUUUGUGCUGGGUGCUCUGAUAUAGUUAGGAAUAAGACAAACUUGGUCUAGGUUGCCAUGGGAGCUUUUAGACAUAAAUAAUUUCAUAAGUAGUAUAGAUUCAUAGUUUGGGAAUUGGUACAAAAACCAGUUAGUGAAUGAGCUCUGUGGUAGCCUUAAAGAUUUAGAACCUGAAAGUAGAUGAUAUUAUCACCAAAUACAUAUUCUCAUCCCUCAAAAUUAUUUCUUCAAUCAAUACUUCAGUACUUAUCCAUGCCAGGUACUGUGAUGGUGUUGGGAGUUCCAUUCAGUGGUUAACAGGAUAGCCACAUCACCAUCCACAGAGAAUUUAUACUUAUU